CGUACAAGAAAGACAUUUAUAGAUAUUAUUGCAUUCCUACGAAAGUCAUUAUACGCGGAAAGAAUCACAAAGCAAAUAUAUUUGAAUAGGCGAAUAAAAGUCUGUUAAAAAUUCCAAUUCAUCCAUCGUGUAUUGAAUUUGUGUCGGUUAUCGAUUAAAUUACGAAAAUAUAACAAACGAUUUAACAUAUUUGGCUUGUUUGUAUGAGAUUUGGACACAAUUAUGAAGAAUAAAACAAGAUUGGUAAAAAUAAUGCAAAUUCGAAUCGAUGCAAUAUAUUCUUGCGACAAACAGCAGCUUUCUGAAAUCAACACAAAUUCGUGAGGAAACUAUUUGUUUAUCUGAAAUUGAUGAUUUUCACGGUUUACAUAGCAAGCACUGGUGGAUAUUCGCAAUUCCUACGUUUAAAUACACACAGAAAAUAAUCAAACUAUGAUGUUAUGGAUGUUUGUCGAUCCAACAGUAUCAAUCACGCCAAAAAAAAAUUUGUAUAACGCGUUAAUUUGCAUUCGCUUACGUUCCGUAGUUUUAUAUUUACUUUCGCCCAGAGAAAACAAUAAAUUUCUGUUUACGAUUAUUUUAUAGGCUACAAACUAGUUCUAUAGACUACAGGACAUCUUUUUUAUUAAAAACGAAAGAACCCUUUCAAUUAAAUUGUGCGGUCUUUACAUGGUUAAGUAAAAAUUGGCGCAAAAAUAGAAAACGCAUUCAAGCGUAUCUUCGACAAUUUUCAGAGACAUGACUAUUUUCCAGAACAUUUUCUGCAUUAAUUUUUAGUGAUUCUAAUACAAAUAUAUUCACUAAACCGUUUUUGUAAUUUGAAAGCACACGAACAUUAUUCUUUGACUGUUUUCUAAAAUAACUUGAGAAAUCAAAUGUGUACAUAAUUAUGCCGGAAACUAUAUUAAAAAUGGAAACAGCUUAAUGAUAUGCGCGACAAGUGACGACAUAGGAGGAAAAUGUGUAACUGUCGCGAAAGGUUAAAUCGACGACGCGUAAAGAUAUUUAUGACGUAAUCGCAGGGAGUGUAUAUGGGCAUGGGAAGGAGCGAUUUUAGUGACCCAGUUUGCAAGUGGCAGUUACCGCCGCCGCCACUGCAGCAUCCUUGGCUACGGAUGUGAACUUUUUGCCCGUCGUCGUGUCGGAGCAGGCGCGCGAGGGUGAAGGUCAAGGGCGAAAAAUACGUAAAUCCCGGGACCGGACCGGAGCAUUUCCCGAAAGGGAGGAAGGAAGGAAGGAACCAACGGGAAGCGGAACGAGAGCGGAGCGUGCCUAUCUAGGUCGAGAAAACAGUGGUUGGGUCGAAGUGGUAUCGAAGGACGAUUACCGUCGGAUGGCGCGCGUAAGUGGCAAGAAGCACGCCGCUCCUUCGGCAAAUACGAUAAAAGUACACCGGAAAAUGACGAAAUGAUACCCCCUAGGGAAUUUAUUUCACGUCGCAUGCUUCAAUGCAAAAGACAUUACGCGAAGGACGUGAAGUAUAGUCUGCACAAUCAAUAUAAUGCUAAAGAGGCUGAAUGUGUGUAAAUAUGAAGUUGUUGUGGAUUCUUUUCUCUCUCUUGAGAGAGAAAUUUUAUACUUUCAUAACAGAAAUAAUUUAAAGAUAUAUCUUUUAAGAGAUACUCGCUACAUAAGUAUAUUUACAAUGUUUCUCAAAAGUAAUGUUGUCGUUUUAAUAAUUAUUUUUAAUGAAAUUAUUUUUAUCAUCCUUUUUCAUCACAAAACUUUUCAUUUAGUUUCUUAAUUAUUCCUCUACUCUUUAGUUAUAUGUACAUAUUUGACUAUAUAUAUAUUUGAUUAUACUAAAGUUUCCAAAGAUAAAGAUAAGGCAAACGUACUAGUGGCUGAACAUGUAUCUAUACCUGAACACGUACACAAAAUGUAUUAAUCUUAAAUACUUUUUUCAUUAUAAUAUCAAAAUUGAAUUGUAAAAAUAUUUAAAGAUUACAAUUAAAUUAUAAUAUUAUAAAAAAAAUCAUUUAAAAAUAAAUUUUUGUGUACUUGUUCAGUUUUACACGUUCAGCCACUGGUACGUUUACCUUAAAUGUUGAAAUAAUUUUCAUUCAUAACCGUUACUAUAAAGUUACAUGUAUAUAUUUUUUUUUUAACUUCAAGACCUUCAAGUAUUAAAUUGUUGAGAAAUACAGAGUUCAAAGAGAAUCUGGCUCGAGAUCGGUCCGAAGAUUUGUGACAAAAAACACGAGCGUGGCGAUGUAUGCGUGCAUGCACAUCGCAUAAUAAAAGCCAUCCAAUUAGCGAUACGGCGGAAUUAAUGUCGCUGUAGCGAAGAUAAGGGCUUCGGCCGUUGCGCAAUUUUCGCAUGGCACACAGGCGUGUUUUUCUGGUUUCCCAGAUUGGUCCGAGAUUUUCACCUCGUGGUCGGGUCACUAUCGGACGCAAAAUAUCGCGAUCGACCCGCGGGCGAAAACGAGUUGCAUGCAACGAACUGGCGUCCGUGGACAUCGCUCGACAGCGCACAGAGGCGGCGGCGGUGAAGAAACCGCUCUCUACCGCGGAUACAUAAAAAAUGUAUCAAGAUAUCAACGCAUAACCAAACCAAAAUACAAAGGGGAACAAAAGGCAGUUGGCAGCGCGCCCAAAAAGUGAAUCCCGAUAUCGAGCAUAUAUGUCACGUGCACGAGAGUUCCGCUUUUUUUCACGGGUUAUCACUGAUUUUUUUCUUUGAUAGUCGGUCGCCGAAGCACAAUGAACUGUCCAAACUGUCCCAGCUCUCCUGUUUUUUACGACCGGUCGAAAUGAGAAAUUUAUGCGUUUUACACCAAAACAGACAAGUCUCUGGUGACACUUUUAAAAAAAGCGAGAUUCUCGUUUAUCCGUGAAAAUACAGCUGCCGCGUACGAUACGCUCGCAUCGCAAGCUUCGUGAAAUAUGUAAACAUCAUGAAAUAAUAAAUUCAUUUCUCUCUUAAAAAAAAAUGA
This is a long non-coding RNA of Wasmannia auropunctata (little fire ant), 2939 nucleotides long. RefSeq lists it as uncharacterized. The transcript is spliced from 2 exons. The record is from RefSeq and is a predicted model, not a curated record. Lineage: Eukaryota; Metazoa; Arthropoda; Insecta; Hymenoptera; Formicidae.